This 74-nucleotide transfer RNA is filed under the name Phlebopus portentosus. Its description in RNAcentral is "tRNA-Asp (GTC) (tRNA-Asp-GTC-2-1)". It matches the Rfam family "tRNA". From Rfam's summary of the family: Transfer RNA (tRNA) molecules are approximately 80 nucleotides in length. Their secondary structure includes four short double-helical elements and three loops (D, anti-codon, and T loops). Further hydrogen bonds mediate the characteristic L-shaped molecular structure. tRNAs have two regions of fundamental functional importance: the anti-codon, which is responsible for specific mRNA codon recognition, and the 3' end, to which the tRNAs corresponding amino acid is attached (by aminoacyl-tRNA synthetases). tRNAs cope with the degeneracy of the genetic code in two manners: having more than one tRNA (with a specific anti-codon) for a particular amino acid; and 'wobble' base-pairing, i.e. permitting non-standard base-pairing at the 3rd anti-codon position. RNAcentral also lists the same sequence under 1 other name. The record is from RNAcentral. Lineage: Eukaryota; Fungi; Basidiomycota; Agaricomycetes; Boletales; Boletinellaceae.
GGGUCCUUAGUUCAAUCGGUUAGAACUUCUAGUUGUCAAUUAGACUGUUACCAGUUCGAAUCUGGUAGGACUCG